RNAcentral lists this ribosomal RNA (433 nucleotides) under uncultured bacterium. RNAcentral's name for it is "partial 16S ribosomal RNA". It matches the Rfam family "Bacterial small subunit ribosomal RNA", at positions 29 to 507 of the family's 1533-position model. The record is from RNAcentral.
AGCGAACGCUGGCGGCAAGCCUAACACAUGCAAGUCGAACGAACUCUUCGGAGUUAGUGGCGGACGGGUGAGUAACACGUGGGAACGUGCCUUUUGGUUCGGAAUAACUCAGGGAAACUUGUGCUAAUACCGAAUGCGCCCUUCGGGGGAAAGAUUUAUCGCCAUUAGAGCGGCCCGCGUCUGAUUAGCUAGUUGGUGAGGUAACGGCUCACCAAGGCGACGAUCAGUAGCUGGUCUGAGAGGAUGACCAGCCACACUGGGACUGAGACACGGCCCAGACUCCUACGGGAAGCAGCAGUGGGGAAUCUUGCGCAAUGGGCGAAAGCCUGACGCAGCCAUGCCGCGUGAAUGAUGAAGGUCUUAGGAUUGUAAAAUUCUUUCACCGGGGACGAUAAUGACGGUGCCCGGAGAAGAAGCCCCGGCUAACUUCGUG